UACGUAGGGGGCAAGCGUUGUCCGGAAUCAUUGGGCGUAAAGCGCGUGUAGGCGGCCCGAUAAGUCCGCUGUGAAAGUCCAGGGCUCAACCCUGGGAUGCCGGUGGAUACUGUCGGGCUCGAGUCCGGAAGAGGCGAGUGGAAUUCCUGGUGUAGCGGUGAAAUGCGCAGAUAUCAGGAGGAACACCAAUGGCGAAGGCAGCUCGCUGGGACGGUACUGACGCUGAGACGCGAAAGCGUGGGGAGCAAACAGG
RNAcentral lists this ribosomal RNA (253 nucleotides) under uncultured bacterium. Its description in RNAcentral is "partial 16S ribosomal RNA". It matches the Rfam family "Bacterial small subunit ribosomal RNA", at positions 524 to 776 of the family's 1533-position model. The record is from RNAcentral.